This 677-nucleotide non-coding RNA is filed under the name Trichinella zimbabwensis. The record is from RNAcentral. Lineage: Eukaryota; Metazoa; Nematoda; Enoplea; Trichinellida; Trichinellidae.
AAUCAUAAUCUCCUGUUAUUGUAACUGAAUCAAUUAAAUUUUGAUGCACUUAGCACAAAUCAACAUUAUGCAAGACUACCUGCCAUAGUUAAAGAUCUAAGCGAUAAAUAGUGUGCCAGCUAUCGCGGCUAUACAUUAGCUUAAAGUUAACUUCUAUUAACUGUUUAGAUUGUUACCCUACCAUUAAAAUCCUAAUAGUGAAAAGUAUAUAUUCUACACAACAAUACAUCUAAACUACCAAAAGUUAAACAAGAAACAAGGAUUAGAUACCCUUCUAUCCUAGACCUAAACUAAUCAAGAAGUAAUAUCAAAUAAAAACUUAAUCAGAAUGGCAGUAAGAAAUCCACCGGAGAAGGCUGUACCAUAAUCGACAAUCCUCGCUAAUUACCCCCUAACCUAACAUUUUAUAUAUCGCCAUUGAAAUCUUACUUAAGGUAGAAUUAAUAUAAGAUUUAAACUCAGUCAACAGGUCAAGAUAUAAAUCAUGGUUAGGUGAGAUAUUGCCUGCAAAUAUCAACAAUCAAUUAAACCAACCAUUAUCCACAGUUUAAACUAGGAUCCGACUGUAACCAUGUCUACUUAUAACAUUAUGACCUGCCAAAUUCCUUAUGCACAUAUUGCCCGUCAUCCUCAUAAGGAGGCAAGUCGUAACAAAGUAGAUCUUCUGGAAGGAGGAC